Long non-coding RNA from Nothobranchius furzeri (turquoise killifish), 4047 nucleotides. RefSeq lists it as uncharacterized. The record is from RefSeq and is a predicted model, not a curated record. Lineage: Eukaryota; Metazoa; Chordata; Actinopteri; Cyprinodontiformes; Nothobranchiidae.
GCACGCCUGGCUGCUUUUGUUAAAUAAAACACUGCUGCUGUUAGUUUAGAGCCCAAUAGUCCUGGACUUCACCGGAGCAGAGCAACAAAACGUUUGGUGCUAUAAAAAGCCCCAAACACACACAAAUCAGCUUCCUGAAAGGCCUCCGUUGGGAGAAAUAGAGUUCACCUCCUUUAGGAGGGAGGAGCGAAGGGCGUGUUCUUCUUAAAACAGGUCCAGGUUGCAUUAUUUAUCAAAUUUUGUAUCGUCGUCAAUUUCACAUCACUCGAUAUCUCCAAUCUAAAGGAGCAACAUGUAAGAAUUCUGCAGUGAAAUAAUCACAAAACAUCUGAUGUCUCACUCGUGUUGAAAGGAAGGAUACAUGCUGCAUAUUUUUCAUCGCUAAUUGAGGAGAAUAAGAAUAAUCCUAAUUUUUUUUCAGUACAGAUGCUAAACUUACACAGAAUCAUAGCUCUGAACCAUCUGUUCCCUUAGCCCUCAGCAGCAACGACUUUAUGGGAUUUUUCACGAGUAAAAUUAAUUCUAUUAGAAACAAAAUGAUUAGCAUCCUUCCUAAUGCGAUUUCUUCUUCCUCAGUAAGUGAGGCAGCAUCAGAGGUGACUGUAGAACCUCAUCUGUGUUUGAACUGUUUUGAUGCAGUUGAGCUUUCAGAUUUAUCGUUCUCCACACUCUUGUUUUUGAGUUUUGUGUCACGGCUUGGGGCACACACACACACACACACACACACACACACACACACACACACACACACACACACACACACACACGGAAAUGUGGAAAUCCCUGUUUUAACAAUGAGCUCAUCUGAUUCCUGGCAUUCUGCCCUCUCUCUCUCUCUCUCUCUCUCUCUCUCUCUCUCUCUCUCUCUCUCUCUCUCUCUCUCCCCUCCUGUCUUUCAAUCUCUUUGUCAGUAUCUCUGCAUAUCUUUAAUUCAUAGUAGCACUUUCUCAGUCUUACAUGUUCCAAAGUCAAAUAGAACUGGAAUGUGAGGGUUUGUGAUACUGACUACGUUUACAUGCAGCCAAUAUCCGGGUUAUGAUCGGGUUAUGAUCGGGUUAUGGUCGGGUUAAGGUCGGGAUUCGGGUUUCUGAGUUGAUCAGAAUAACCCGUUUACAAGCAUAAAUAGAAAGAGUUACCUCUAACUUGCAUAACCCGAUUUAAAUGCGGACGUUGGGGUAGCGUCAGGACGUACGGACUACGUCCAGACGCAAUAUGUGUCAUUUCUGGUUCUUCUUGUUCCGGUAUCCGUGAAAACAACAACAUGUUUCCCAGUUCGGAAGAGAUAGCGACCGCGUUUGUUUGCGCUUUAGUUUCCUCGUCACUCCAAAAGUGUGGUGCUGUGCCGCGACUCGCCAUGUUGCUCCAAACUUGUUGUUUACUUCUGGUGUUCUGGCGCAUACAAGACGUCUCGCUACUCAAAAGACCAAGAUUCCUUGCGAACAGAGCAUGUGCAGAACACACACUUCGAUGGGGAUAUCCCGAUACGCGUUUACACGACCAAACAUUCGGGUUAGAAAAGGGUUACCCCAGGUGUAGUAACCAGGUUUUUAAAAACCCGGUUAUGAGCAUAUCCGGGUUUUUGGCGGUGUUUACAUGGACCUGCGGAACCGGGUUAUUGUGAAUAUUCGUGUUUUAAAAGGGUUACUGGCUGCGUGUAAACGUAGUCAUUGUGUCUUCAAACAUUGAAACGUUAACUUCCUUUGACUGAGUUUAGGCUUUCUCUGAGAACUGAAUGUGCACACAGAGAAGCAACGCCUUGGAAAAUUAAUAAAAAAUACUCAAAUCCUCGUUUUUAAACCUCAAUAAAGGAGAGAAAACACGAGUUUCUCAACCUUGCAGGAUCAAGGGUCUUUUGGAGGGAUUUUUUUGCUCUUUGCUUUCCACCAAGAGAACCAUGGACAGAAUCAUGAGACAUAUUUAAGGCAUCCAUGCUUUCGUUCUUUUUAAACACAGAAACAGUUUUGUUUACCUGUUAUUGACGCUACAGUUUCGCCGACAGCUGCCGGCUUCUUCAGGCUGACGCUGAUGGUGGCGCGUCAUUUCCUUCUCCGUUUAUCUGCGGGCAGCAGAGGACGUUGUCGCCCUCUACUGCCCGCUCUCCCCUCUCCGACGAUGCAGUCCCAUGCGUGGUCCAGCGUGUAAACUCCGUUGUCCCUGUUCAUGGUCCCACAUCCACGUCUCCUUAUCUCGAUUGCUUCCUUGAUCCAUCUUUUGUAUUUUUGUUGUUCGGUGGUUAUGAUCCGUGUGCUGUCCCAGUCCAUUAUAUGGUUUUCUCUUAAGCAAUGAUCUGUUACGGCUGACUUUUUUAUUGUACUUUCUGCUUCUUCUUUUGCUGCUCGUCGGAGAGGGGAGAGCGGGCAGUAGAGGGCGACAACGUCCUCUGCUGCCCGCAGAUAAACGGAGAAGGAAGUGACGCGCCACCAUCAGCGUCAGCCUGAAGAAGCCGGCAGCCGUCGGCGAAACUGUAGCGUCAAUAACAGGUCUGGGUGUUCGGAGCAGCAGUUGUUCCCAGUGUUGGCAUCCACUCUGGAUAUGCCCGAAUCACCUCUACUUGCAGAUGAUGAAGGAGCAGCCUCACCAGUCGACCGGAUCACCUCCACUGGCACACUUUGAUGUGGAGGAGCAGCAGCUCUCUGGGAUGCAGCGUUGUUUAAAUGUUAUCAGCGGGAUGCAGAGACACGCACACAUAGCAACAGACACGUUUUCCUGUCAGAUUCCUCCAUUUCCUCAAUAUUUAAAAUAUGUCUUGUUAAGCACGUCCACCCCAAGGCCAGCUGAGAGCAUCCUGUAACCAUUGCAGUUCUGUCUCUCUGCAAUUUACUUCCUGCUGCACAGCUUUGAACUCAAGGCCGUUUAAAUGUUCAAACCCUUGAAGUUUUUCCGCAAGAUGUUCUUCGAUCUGCCACAUGUCUGUGGCUAGAUGUCAUCAGCACUUGUUUUGAUGUUUUUUUUUUUUUUUUCAAAUUUAAAGGGGACAAAUUAUGCAAAACUUACCUUUUGCUUCCUUUUUUGCUGCUAUGUGCAUCUCUACUGCCACUAUAAACACUCCAAAAAUGGAGAAAGAAGUCCAUCUGUUUUCUGUGGUUGGUUAGUUUUAGGAAAAAUGUGCCUAAAACAACCUGUUUCAAUAAUUUCUCAUUUGUGAUGUCACAAAAGAGAAAUUAGAAUCAAACCACCUCCAUUGUGCAAAAGCAAGCUCCUGCUGGGGGAGCAGCAUUUUUACUCCAAGCCCCUCCCAGAGGGCAGAGAUUCUCAGCUUAUAGCAGCCUGAAGCCUAGCUUAUACUUCUCCGUCUGCACCGGUGUGGUGCCAUUAUUAAUUACAUAGGAAGUGUUACAAAAAGCCAUUAUCAUUGUCCAGCAGGAUCGCAGUGACGGAUGGAGUAGAGCCCCUUUUUGGAACUACCGGUACCUGUGGAAAGCAACAGAGACCGCAAGCCUGUGAUUGGUCAGAACGCUGCCAUUCCCUCUAAAAAAUAAUAAUAAAGCCAGAGCCGAACAUAUCUAGCGACAGACACAGAGCAGAUUGAAGAAGGUCUCACGUAAAAAGUCAUACGAAAUAAACGUUAAUGCACCACUGAAGAAGUACAAAGAUAUGCGGCAAACUUUUUAUUCGUGUCAGGAAAUUACGGGAAACGUGAAUUUAGAGGUGAUGACUUGACGAAGAGGUGGAGGGCAAAUUUGUCUGUGUUCAAAAGCGCUCCGCCCUCUGCUGUCCUGGCAGAAAAUUGCUUUACACCGACACAGCAAGGGAGAAGUAUUAAAGGAACAUACCUCCAUCAAAUCUGUGUGUGUGAGCGCAAAGUUGUUGACAGAGGAGCAUAAACAAGGGUUGAGUGGGGGGUAGGUGGGCGUGGCCAGCUCCAGCUAUUUUUCUUAAAGUGACAGAGUCCAUAAACAACUCAUUCUGGAAGGUACUGAAAAUGUCAAGAGCUUUAAUUGCUUUACAUGAGUGGGAUUUUGUGCACAGAAAUGAAUAAACAUGUUAUGUAUGGACCAUAAAACUAUCACAACUUAACAAUAAAUGUCAUAAUAUGUCCCCGUUAAA